AAAGCGAGUCUGAAUAGGGCGCAUAAGUAACAGGUCGUAGACCCGAAACCAGGUGAUCUACCCAUGUCCAGGAUGAAGGUAAGGUAAUACUUACUGGAGGUCCGAACCCACGCACGUUGAAAAGUGCGGGGAUGAGGUGUGGGUAGCGGAGAAAUUCCAAUCGAACUUGGAGAUAGCUGGUUCUCUCCGAAAUAGCUUUAGGGCUAGCCUCGAGGUAAAGAGUCAUGGAGGUAGAGCACUGUUUGGACUAGGGGCCCUUCUCGGGUUACCGAAUUCAGAUAAACUCCGAAUGCCAUGUACUUAUACUCGGGAGUCAGACUGCGAGUGAUAAGAUCCGUAGUCGAAAGGGAAACAGCCCAGACCACCAGUUAAGGUCCCCAAAUAUAUGUUAAGUGGAAAAGGAUGUGGGGUUGCUUAGACAACCAGGAUGUUGGCUUAGAAGCAGCCACCAUUGAAAGAGUGCGUAAUAGCUCACUGGUCGAGUGACCCCGCGCCGAAAAUGUACCGGGGCUAAACAUAUUACCGAAACUGUGGAUGAACCUCAUUAGAGGUUCGUGGUAGGAGAGCGUUCUAAGGGCGGUGAAGUCAGACCGGAAGGACUGGUGGAGCGCUUAGAAGUGAGAAUGCCGGUAUGAGUAGCGAAAGAAGGGUGAGAAUCCCUUCCACCGAAUAUCUAAGGUUUCCUGAGGAAGGCUCGUCCGCUCAGGGUUAGUCGGGACCUAAGCCGAGGCCGAUAGGCGUAGGCGAUGGACAACAGGUAGAGAUUCCUGUACCAGUGCUAAUUGUUUAACCGAUGGGGUGACACAGAAGGAUAGGGAAUCGCACGAAUGGAAAUGUGCGUCCAAGCAGUGAGUGUGAGAAGUAGGCAAAUCCGCUUCUCGCGAAGCAUGAGCUGUG
Molecule: ribosomal RNA, 897 nt
Filed under: Listeria monocytogenes
Lineage: Bacteria; Bacillati; Bacillota; Bacilli; Caryophanales; Listeriaceae
Description: partial 23S ribosomal RNA
Rfam family: Bacterial large subunit ribosomal RNA
Source: RNAcentral